This 82-nucleotide transfer RNA is filed under the name Bacteroidales bacterium. RNAcentral describes it as "tRNA-Leu". It matches the Rfam family "tRNA". From Rfam's summary of the family: Transfer RNA (tRNA) molecules are approximately 80 nucleotides in length. Their secondary structure includes four short double-helical elements and three loops (D, anti-codon, and T loops). Further hydrogen bonds mediate the characteristic L-shaped molecular structure. tRNAs have two regions of fundamental functional importance: the anti-codon, which is responsible for specific mRNA codon recognition, and the 3' end, to which the tRNAs corresponding amino acid is attached (by aminoacyl-tRNA synthetases). tRNAs cope with the degeneracy of the genetic code in two manners: having more than one tRNA (with a specific anti-codon) for a particular amino acid; and 'wobble' base-pairing, i.e. permitting non-standard base-pairing at the 3rd anti-codon position. Lineage: Bacteria; Pseudomonadati; Bacteroidota; Bacteroidia; Bacteroidales. The record is from RNAcentral.
GCGGAUGUGGCGAAAUUGGUAGACGCGCCAGACUUAGGAUCUGGUGUCGAAAGACAUGGGGGUUCGAGUCCCUUCAUCCGCA